Molecule: small nucleolar RNA, 100 nt
Filed under: Otolemur garnettii (small-eared galago)
Lineage: Eukaryota; Metazoa; Chordata; Mammalia; Primates; Galagidae
Description: Small nucleolar RNA SNORA42/SNORA80 family (ENSOGAG00000022922.1)
Source: RNAcentral
UUACGAGAGGUCCCUAACGUAGUCAAACUCUGGCCCUGGCCGGGCCCCAGCCUGAGCUCUGUGCCUAUGGGCUGCUGGCACUGAAGUAGUUUGUACAACA